RNAcentral lists this ribosomal RNA (372 nucleotides) under uncultured organism. RNAcentral describes it as "bacterial SSU rRNA". It matches the Rfam family "Bacterial small subunit ribosomal RNA", at positions 526 to 896 of the family's 1533-position model. The record is from RNAcentral.
CAGAGGGUGCAAACGUUGUUCGGAAUUACUGGGCGUAAAGCGUGUGUAGGCGGUCUGCUCAGUCGGAUGUGAAAGCCCUGGGCUCAACCCAGGAAGUGCACUCGAAACUGGCAGGCUAGAGUACUGGAGAGGUUGGUGGAAUUCUCGGUGUAGAGGUGAAAUUCGUAGAUAUCGAGAGGAACACCGGUGGCGAAGGCGGCCAACUGGACAGAUACUGACGCUGAGACACGAAAGCGUGGGGAGCAAACAGGAUUAGAUACCCUGGUAGUCCACGCCGUAAACGAUGGGUGCUAGGUGUCGCGGGCUUUGACUCCUGCGGUGCCGUAGCUAACGCAUUAAGCACCCCGCCUGGGAAGUACGGCCGCAAGGCUA